Molecule: ribosomal RNA, 468 nt
Filed under: uncultured bacterium
Lineage: Bacteria
Description: partial 16S ribosomal RNA
Rfam family: Bacterial small subunit ribosomal RNA
Source: RNAcentral
GACGAACGCUGGCGGCGUGCUUAACACAUGCAAGUCGAACGGAAAGGCCCUGCUUUUGUGGGGUGCUCGAGUGGCGAACGGGUGAGUAACACGUGAGUAACCUGCCCUUGACUUUGGGAUAACUUCAGGAAACUGGGGCUAAUACCGGAUAGGAGCUCCUGCUGCAUGGUGGGGGUUGGAAAGUUUCGGCGGUUGGGGAUGGCCUCGCGGCUUAUCAGCUUGUUGGUGGGGUAGUGGCUUACCAAGGCUUUGACGGGUAGCCGGCCUGAGAGGGUGACCGGCCACAUUGGGACUGAGAUACGGCCCAGACUCCUACGGGAGGCAGCAGUGGGGAAUAUUGCACAAUGGGCGGAAGCCUGAUGCAGCAACGCCGCGUGCGGGAUGACGGCCUUCGGGUUGUAAACCGCUUUCGCCUGGGACGAAGCGUGAGUGACGGUAAUGGGUAAAGAAGCACCGGCUAACUACGUG